Molecule: transfer RNA, 83 nt
Filed under: Candidatus Dadabacteria bacterium CSP1-2
Lineage: Bacteria; Pseudomonadati; Thermodesulfobacteriota; Candidatus Dadabacteria
Also listed under: 2 other names
Description: tRNA-Leu
Rfam family: tRNA
About the family: Transfer RNA (tRNA) molecules are approximately 80 nucleotides in length.
Source: RNAcentral
GCGAGAGUGGCGGAACUGGCAGACGCGCUGGACUUAGGAUCCAGUGGGCACAACCCGUGGGGGUUCAACUCCCCCCUCUCGCA